UACAGAGGUCUCAAGCGUUGUUCGGAUUCAUUGGGCGUAAAGGGUGCGUAGGUGGCGCCGUAAGUCGGGUGUGAAAUUUCGGAGCUUAACUCCGAAACUGCAUUCGAUACUGCGGUGCUUGAGGACUGGAGAGGAGACUGGAAUUCAUGGUGUAGCAGUGAAAUGCGUAGAGAUCAUGAGGAAGACCAGUGGCGAAGGCGAGUCUCUGGACAGUUACUGACGCUGAGGCACGAAGGCCAGGGGAGCAAACGGG
Molecule: ribosomal RNA, 253 nt
Filed under: uncultured bacterium
Lineage: Bacteria
Description: partial 16S ribosomal RNA
Rfam family: Bacterial small subunit ribosomal RNA
Source: RNAcentral